Molecule: ribosomal RNA, 253 nt
Filed under: uncultured bacterium
Lineage: Bacteria
Description: partial 16S ribosomal RNA
Rfam family: Bacterial small subunit ribosomal RNA
Source: RNAcentral
UACGUAGGGGGCAAGCGUUGUCCGGAAUCAUUGGGCGUAAAGAGCGCGUAGGCGGUCCGGUAAGUCCGCUCUGAAAGUCCGGGGCUCAACCCCGGGAGGCGGGCGGAUACUGUCGGGCUAGAGUCCGGAAGAGGCGAGUGGAAUUCCUGGUGUAGCGGUGGAAUGCGCAGAUAUCAGGAGGAGCACCGAUAGCGAAGGCAGCUCGCUGGGACGGUACUGACGCUAAGGCGCGAAAGCGUGGGGAGCGAACAGG